CAAUAGCGUAUAUUAAAGUUGUUGCAGUUAAAAAGCUCGUAGUUGGAUUUCUGGUGGGAGCGAUCGGUCUGGCGCUUAGCGCGAGUACUUGCAUCGUCUCCGGCCAUCCUUGGGGAGAGUCUGUCUGGCAUUAGGUUGUCGGGCAGAGGAUCCUCAUCGUUUACUGUGAAAAAAUUAGAGUGUUCAAAGCAGGCUUAUGCCGUUGAAUAUAUUAGCAUGGAAUAAUAAGAUAGGACUUGGGUACUAUUUUGUUGGUUUGCGCACCAAAGUAAUGAUUAAUAGGGACAGUUGGGGGUAUUCGUAUUCCGUUGUCAGAGGUGAAAUUCUUGGAUUUACGGAAGACGAACUACUGCGAAAGCAUUUACCAAGGAUGUUUUCAUUAA
RNAcentral lists this ribosomal RNA (383 nucleotides) under uncultured eukaryote. Its description in RNAcentral is "partial 18S ribosomal RNA". It matches the Rfam family "Eukaryotic small subunit ribosomal RNA", at positions 592 to 976 of the family's 1831-position model. The record is from RNAcentral.